GUGCCUACAACAAGUUCGAGCCCUUAAUGGGUGAGAGCGUGCCUUUUGUAGAAUGAACCGGCGAGUUACGUUAUGAUGCGAGGUUAAGUUGAAGAGACGGAGCCGUAGGGAAACCGAGUCUGAAUAGGGCGCCUUAGUAUCAUGACGUAGACCCGAAACCAUGUGACCUACCCAUGAGCAGGUUGAAGGUGCGGUAAGACGCACUGGAGGACCGAACCAGGGCACGUUGAAAAGUGCUUGGAUGACUUGUGGGUAGCGGAGAAAUUCCAAACGAACUUGGAGAUAGCUGGUUCUCUCCGAAAUAGCUUUAGGGCUAGCGUCGACAUUAGAGAUUCUUGGAGGUAGAGCACUGUUUGGGUGAGGGGUCCAUCCCGGAUUACCAAUCUCAGAUAAACUCCGAAUGCCAAUGAAUUAUGGUCGGCAGUCAGACUGCGAGUGCUAAGAUCCGUAGUCGAAAGGGAAACAGCCCAGACCACCAGCUAAGGUCCCAAAAUAAUUGUUAAGUGGAAAAGGUUGUGGGGUUGCACAGACAACUAGGAUGUUAGCUUAGAAGCAGCUAUUCAUUCAAAGAGUGCGUAAUAGCUCACUAGUCGAGUGACCCUGCGCCGAAAAUGUACCGGGGCUAAAACAAUUUACCGAAGCUGUGGAUACCUUUAUAGGUAUGGUAGGAGAGCGUUCUAUGUGUGAUGAAGGUAUACCGUGAGGAGUGCUGGAACGCAUAGAAGUGAGAAUGCCGGUAUGAGUAGCGAAAGACAGGUGAGAAUCCUGUCCACCGUAAGACUAAGGUUUCCAGGGGAAGGCUCGUCCGCCCUGGGUUAGUCGGGACCUAAGGAGAGACCGAAAGGUGUAUCCGAUGGACAACAGGUUGAUAUUCCUGUACUAGAGUAUGUAGUGAUGGAGGGACGCAGUAGGCUAACUAAAGCAGACGAUUGGAAGAGUCUGUCUAAGCAGUGAGGUGUGAAUUGAGUCAAAUGCUUAAUUCUAUAACAUUGAGCUGUGAUGGGGAGCGAAGUUUAGUAGCGAAGUUAGUGACGUCACACUGCCAAGAAAAGCUUCUAGCGUUUAAACAUACUCUACCCGUACCGCAAACCGACACAGGUAGUCGAGGCGAGUAGCCUCAGGUGAGCGAGAGAACUCUCGUUAAGGAACUCGGCAAAAUGACCCCGUAACUUCGGGAGAAGGGGUGCUGACUUUAAGUCAGCCGCAGUGAAUAGGCCCAAGCAACUGUUUAUCAAAAACACAGCUCUCUGCUAAAUCGUAAGAUGAUGUAUAGGGGGUGACGCCUGCCCGGUGCUGGAAGGUUAAGAGGAGUGCUUAGCGUAAGCGAAGGUAUGAAUUGAAGCCCCAGUAAACGGCGGCCGUAACUAUAACGGUCCUAAGGUAGCGAAAUUCCUUGUCGGGUAAGUUCCGACCCGCACGAAAGGCGUAAUGAUUUGGGCACUGUCUCAACGAGAGACUCGGUGAAAUUUUAGUACCUGUGAAGAUGCAGGUUACCCGCGACAGGACGGAAAGACCCCAUGGAGCUUUACUGCAGUUUGAUAUUGAGUGUCUGUACCACAUGUACAGGAUAGGUAGGAGUCUAAGAGAUCGGGACGCCAGUUUCGAAGGAGACGCUGUUGGGAUACUACCCUUGUGUUAUGGCCACUCUAACCCAGAUAGGUGAUCCCUAUCGGAGACAGUGUCUGACGGGCAGUUUGACUGGGGCGGUCGCCUCCUAAAAGGUAACGGAGGCGCCCAAAGGUUCCCUCAGAAUGGUUGGAAAUCAUUCGCAGAGUGUAAAGGUAUAAGGGAGCUUGACUGCGAGAGCUACAACUCGAGCAGGGACGAAAGUCGGGCUUAGUGAUCCGGUGGUUCCGUAUGGAAGGGCCAUCGCUCAACGGAUAAAAGCUACCCUGGGGAUAACAGGCUUAUCUCCCCCAAGAGUUCACAUCGACGGGGAGGUUUGGCACCUCGAUGUCGGCUCGUCGCAUCCUGGGGCUGUAGUCGGUCCCAAGGGUUGGGCUGUUCGCCCAUUAAAGCGGCACGCGAGCUGGGUUCAGAACGUCGUGAGACAGUUCGGUCCCUAUCCGUCGCGGGCGUAGGAAAUUUGAGAGGAUCUGCUCCUAGUACGAGAGGACCAGAGUGGACUUACCGCUGGUGUACCAGUUGUCUUGCCAAAGGCAUCGCUGGGUAGCUAUGUAGGGAAGGGAUAAACGCUGAAAGCAUCUAAGUGUGAAACCCACCUCAAGAUGAGAUUUCCCAUGAUUAUAUAUCAGUAAGAGCCCUGAGAGAUGAUCAGGUAGAUAGGUUAGAAGUGGAAGUGUGGCGACACAUGUAGCGGACUAAUACUAAUAGCUCGAGGACUUAUCCA
This 2350-nucleotide ribosomal RNA is filed under the name Streptococcus pneumoniae GA40563. Its description in RNAcentral is "bacterial LSU rRNA". It matches the Rfam family "Bacterial large subunit ribosomal RNA", at positions 560 to 2925 of the family's 2925-position model. Lineage: Bacteria; Bacillati; Bacillota; Bacilli; Lactobacillales; Streptococcaceae. The record is from RNAcentral.